UACGGGGGGGAGCAAGCGUUGUUCGGAUUUACUGGGCGUAAAGAGCGCGCAGGCGGUCGUUCAAGUCGCGUGUGAAAGCCCCCCGGCUCAACUGGGGAGGGUCACGCGAUACUGAUGACUCGAAGGCAAGGAGAGGGGUAGUGGAAAUUCCCCGGUGUAGUGGUGAAAAUGCGUAGAUAUCGGGGAGGAAACACCCAGUGGGCGAAGGGCGACUACCCUGGCCCUGUUUCUUUGACGCUGAGGGCGCGAAAAAAGCUAGGGGGGG
Molecule: ribosomal RNA, 265 nt
Filed under: uncultured bacterium
Lineage: Bacteria
Description: partial 16S ribosomal RNA
Rfam family: Bacterial small subunit ribosomal RNA
Source: RNAcentral